UUAUAACAAUUUCUUACCUCUACUCAUUGAGACAUUUCAUCAAACAGUUGGUCUGCGUUGAAACCCUGGCCCCGGAUCCUCGUCACAAGGACUAACAUUAACCCCAGUAACAACCGCAGACGGGGGCCCUCUACGACACCGCUCCUGCAUCUCCCCAACCUUAUCAACACUCCCAGAAAACAAGACUUCAACGGAUCCAUCUCUUCGGUUCCUAACCCAGCCUUUCAAACCCAAUUCAGUAGCGUUCUGCACAGUCCAGUCCCGGUAAAACACCCCCUGCACUCUCCCCUUAAUCUCGACCUUCACCUGCAAUCAAUUAACAAGAAAUGGGUUACAAAUGUGAAGACGACUGGAUGAAUUGGAGGGAGAUUUGAGUUACCGUUUUGAUGGGUGGUGAUGAAUCGGGUGGAGGAAGAGGGGAGGAUUGAGAAGACAUGUUGAAGGGACGAGAUCGGAGUGGGGGAGGGUGAAGGUUUGUGGGUAUGAGGAGAGAGGAUUUGAGUGUGGUGGUGAGUCUGGUUGAGAUGUUUGAAAACAUGAUUCAUGAAAUGCAUGUUUUGAGAUGUUGAUUCGGUUUUUGUGGAGAAGAAUGGAAGAAUUCAUUCUCCAACCUUCUAAAAGUAUUAAUUUUAACA
This 635-nucleotide long non-coding RNA is filed under the name Helianthus annuus (common sunflower). RNAcentral describes it as "hypothetical non coding rna". Lineage: Eukaryota; Viridiplantae; Streptophyta; Magnoliopsida; Asterales; Asteraceae. The record is from RNAcentral.